Molecule: long non-coding RNA, 2103 nt
Organism: Homo sapiens (human)
Lineage: Eukaryota; Metazoa; Chordata; Mammalia; Primates; Hominidae
Exons: 3
Source: RefSeq, a predicted model, not a curated record
GGCAACCCACUUGGGUUCCCUGCGAUGUUGUGGAAGGGUUGUUGUUUUGCUGUUUCCAGUAAAUGUUGGUGUUGCUCAGUUUUUGGGUCCACACUGUGUUUAUGAGCUGUAACACGCACUGCAAAGGUCUGCAGCUUCACUCCUGAGGUCAGCGAGACCAUGAACUCACCAACCUGCUGGGAGGGAUGAACAACUCCGGACGCGCCACGUUUAUGAACUGUAACACCACGAAGGUCUGCAGCUUCGCUCCUGAGGCCAGCACGACCAUGAACCCAUUAGAAGGAAUGAACAACUCCAGACGCGCUGCCCUUAGGAGCCGUAACACUCACUGUGAAGCUUUCACAGGAUCACUCUGGCUGCUGUGUUGAUCCUGGACUGUCAGGGUACAAAGGUAGAGGAGACAUUGCGGUGAUCCCAGGGCCCUGGAGAGAGGAGUGGCAGUGGAACUGAUGAGAGGUGCUCAGAUGCUGGAGAGAACUAGAGUGACUUGCCCAAGGUCACACAGCUAGUCAGCAGGAGAGCCAGGGAAAACCCCAGCUGACAUCUUUUCUUCUGGAGACAGUACAAGAUGACGUCUUUGGAGGGCUCUUCAAAUAAAGUAUGAUGCAAAUAAAAAGAUUUUGCCUUUUGGAAACUUCUUCCGAAACCCCUUAUGGUAUUUCAUCAAUCACAAAAAUGGGAAUUGAGUCACCUGCCCGAGCCCUGUAACCAGGACAGUUGUAGCACACGCUGAACGAUGGCCCUGACAGAUGUGACUGAGUCUCCCUCGCCUUCUGUUUUGUUUGUGUGUCCAGAACUCCUAUUUGUGAGAAAAUUGUAUUCCCUGCGCUUGAGUCCUGGUCUUCUGAGCUGACAUAAGGAACUGUAAGCAGUGGGGGCUGCCAUGCAGCAGGGCUCCAUCUGCCCCAAGUCUCUGUGACUGCUGCUCGCUGCACAGAGGCCCUGGGUGAUCAGAGGCUGCACCGGUGAACCUGUGCAGCCCCGCGCAUCCCGACAGGCCACACGUAAUUUCUGCCUCUCAGUGAAAUCUACCUGCAAGAUUUGCUCUUAUUUUCUCUGCAGCAAACAACAGGAUGAACUUUAUUUUCUCAUUGAAAACAAGGUGCCGGGAAGUGAUUGCGCACCCGUCGGAGAUGCACAGAGCCUUGGGCUUCAGACUCUCCCCUGAAGCCCCGAAAAGCCACCCUCAUUGACCACAUGUACUGAGUGCCCAUCCGAGCAGGACUGCAGGAGCGGCUGGACUGUCCAUGACCCCUAACAACCCACAUGUCCAGAGAUGGCGUUUCUGUCUUCUUGGGAGGGAGGCCUGUUGAGCUGCAUCUGCACCUCAUGAUGCCCGGAGUGGCACGUGGAGCUGCACCUGCACACUUGGCUUCUGGUUGCCGGGGUGCCCAGGGAGUUCACCAUCGGAUAGCAGCCCGCUGCCUGCCUCUCUCUGCCCUCCUGUGGGACACUCCUCGGCUCCCAUGACCUCUCGGAGCCCACAUUUGCCCUCCUGCUCACCUCACCAGGCCCUGGAAGUUGCAGGCUGCAGGUGGGCAAGGGAGGCUGCCACCACUGCUUGGGAUCCGGUCUCCUGGUGGCUGCCUGCAGAGACCGCCCAGAUAAGGGGACGAGGAGUUGGUGUCCUGUGAGACAAACUUCAGUCAAUGGCAGACAAGAGUCAGUGGAUGAAGUCUGCCUUCCUUCGUGGACUGUUUUAUGAUACUGUUUAUAGUUUAGUCAGCCUCUCCGGAGACAUCCUGUAAGGCAGAAAAAUCACGGUUUUGUGAGGAGCUCAGCAAUGCACUUGUGUUUGCUCUCCCUCCUUCCCUCCUUGCUCCUUCCUUCCUUCCCUGCUUCCUCCUUCCCCUUUCUUCCUUUUCUGCUUCCUCUUUUCCCCCUUCCCCCUUUUUUCUUUCCUCUUUUCUCCUUCCUCCUUCCCUCCUUCCUUCACUGAUACUUUUUGGGAUUACUCUCCCUAGUAAAGCAUAAGCACAAAUGCCUUGUCCUUGGUUCUGGUUUCCAGAGAACCUGGGCUAAGAUAAGUUUAUUCCAGAAUAUCUUGAUCUUGAAUGUCCUUCUCUGUCUCCUUCCUUCCUUCUUUCCUCCCUCCCUCCCUCC